UUUUCCCUGCGGUGUUCGCGAAGGCAUAUAUUCCUUUGAACCAAUACGUUCGCUUCAGGUUGCCGGGAGUCGCAGUGGGCGCGAGUGUCUGUUUGCAGAUGCACCCGAAACUGCCCGAGGUAACCGCCUUGUCUGCAAGGUUCAAGCGGAUUCCAGCCCGAACGGCAUCUGCGGGGAUUCC
RNAcentral lists this non-coding RNA (181 nucleotides) under Uruburuella testudinis. Its description in RNAcentral is "6S RNA". It matches the Rfam family "6S / SsrS RNA". Rfam says of the family: E. coli 6S RNA was the first non coding RNA to be sequenced, but its function was unknown until recently. It consists of 184 nucleotides that fold into an extended hairpin structure with a large single-stranded internal bulge. Lineage: Bacteria; Pseudomonadati; Pseudomonadota; Betaproteobacteria; Neisseriales; Neisseriaceae. The record is from RNAcentral.